ACCUACGGGAGACAGCAGUAGGGAAUUUUCGUCAAUGGGCGCAAGCCUGAACGAGCAAUGCCGCGUGAACGAGGAAGGUCUUCGGAUCGUAAAGUUCUGUUGAAGGGGAAAAAGAGCGGAGAGAGGAAAUGCUUUCUGAUUGAUAUUACCCUUCGAGGAAGUCACGGCUAACUACGUGCCAGCAGCCGCGGUAAUACGUAGGUGGCGAGCGUUAUCCGGAAUGAUUGGGCGUAAAGGGUGCGUAGGCGGCCUGCUAAGUCUGGAGUGAAAGGUACCGGCUCAACCGGUACAGGCUCUGGAAACUG
Molecule: ribosomal RNA, 305 nt
Filed under: uncultured bacterium
Lineage: Bacteria
Description: bacterial SSU rRNA
Rfam family: Bacterial small subunit ribosomal RNA
Source: RNAcentral